ACACGAGCAUAAGAUUUAAUGUGAGGCAUUGCCUGUAAGGAGGAUGGUUACAUAAUCUUUUAAUAUUGUUUGCAGCAUUUAACCAAAGAUUGAGCUUACCGUUGUUCGGAGUCUGCUGUCACUACGCCAUUUACUUCACGAGGAACACAAUUUCAAAAAUCCUGUGAACCAUGUUUGUUUGUUGUGGCCUUGAUGUGAGUAUGGUAAACAGCCUCCACCAAGUAACCCAUGAAUACUGGAUUUGACAUCUUGGAAGCACGGGUAAACCUGUUUGAGAAAAUGUUAUGAAACAAAAACUAAUCAACUGACAUUUGCAACUGAGGAUACGUACCACUUGGACAUUUUUCUGGCCGAGUUUGGUGACACCGGAAGCAGCAGCCAUGGAUACACCUAACUCGCCUGCAAGCCAGCUGCUGGGUGAUGGACCGAGCGAACCAAUCGAAGAACAUUGCAUGAUAAUGGAAUCAUUUGCCUCAGACGAAGCAUGCUGUUGCAAUAGCCAAGACAAGUAAAGAUGUCCCCAUUUCGGCACUUUUUCAUUGGCUUCUGAUUGAAUGGCAUGAGAUCCCGGCGAAGAUGGGAUAAAACAAACUCUGUGCACAAAACAUUUUGCGUCUGGCUGAAAAGUUUGAAAACAAGGCUUCAAAGCGGAAAGUGAAUAGGAUUCUAAAUAACGAACAAGAUCCCUUUUGAAACCAGUUAUAGAAUCACCAUCUCCGAUCUUCUCGUUGUCUUUUGAUGACAAAGGUGGACAAGACGGACUAAUCCAAAGGCCUGCACAAAUUUAUUGUUAAAAAAAAAACGAUAGUUUGCCAAUAGGGAUUGUAGUGGUACGCACCUUGUGUACGGUCUUCCCAAUCAGAUUCAAUAAGGUUACCCGUAUGAACAACGAUUCGCAAAUUUCCGUCUUCGUAGGACAUCAUGGACAUUUUCCUUCAGGUUUGACUCUGAUCGUGUGAAGCGUUGGCACUCGACUUUGAGCGGCAGCUAGCUCUUCGGAUUCAGUUCCGUAAAUCACAAGCAUUGGCUUCCUUCUGUUUAAUACAAACAAAAUUAUCGAAAC
Daphnia pulex (common water flea) is the source of this 1063-nucleotide long non-coding RNA. RefSeq lists it as uncharacterized. Lineage: Eukaryota; Metazoa; Arthropoda; Branchiopoda; Diplostraca; Daphniidae. The record is from RefSeq and is a predicted model, not a curated record. The transcript has 4 exons.